This 535-nucleotide ribosomal RNA is filed under the name uncultured marine eukaryote. RNAcentral describes it as "SSU rRNA". It matches the Rfam family "Eukaryotic small subunit ribosomal RNA", at positions 617 to 1156 of the family's 1831-position model. The record is from RNAcentral.
GGUUAAAAAGCUCGUAGUUGGAUUUCUGCUUGGGAGGGCCGGUCCGCCCUCAGGGUGAGCAUCUGGUUUUUCCUGGGCAUCCUCUUGCGGAACGUUGCUGCAAUUGAGUUUGUGGUGCGGUACCCAGGACUUUUACUUUGAGGAAAUUAGAGUGUUUCAAGCAGGCAUUUGCCUUGAAUACAUUAGCAUGGAAUAAUAGGAUAGGACCUUGUUUCUACCUUGUUGGUUCGUAGAGAUGAGGUAAUGGUUAAUAGGGAUAGUCGGGGGCAUUCGUACUUAACUGUCAGAGGUGAAAUUCUUGGAUUUGUCAAAGACGAACUACUGCGAAAGCAUUUGCCAAGGAUGUUUUCAUUGAUCAAGAACGAAAGUUAGGGGAUCGAAGACGAUCAGAUACCGUCCUAGUCUUAACCAUAAACCAUGCCGACUAGGGAUUGGAGGUAGUUACUCUUAUGACUCCUUCAGCACCUUAUGAGAAAUCAAAGUCUUUGGGUUCCGGGGGGAGUAUGGUCGCAAGGCUGAAACUUAAAGAAAUUGA